RNAcentral lists this ribosomal RNA (468 nucleotides) under uncultured bacterium. RNAcentral describes it as "partial 16S ribosomal RNA". It matches the Rfam family "Bacterial small subunit ribosomal RNA", at positions 28 to 507 of the family's 1533-position model. The record is from RNAcentral.
GACGAACGCUGGCGGCGUGCUUAACACAUGCAAGUCGAACGGAAAGGCCCUGCUUUUGUGGGGUGCUCGAUUGGCGAACGGGUGAGUAACACGUGAGUAACCUGCCCUUGACUUUGGGAUAACAUCAGGAAACUGGGGCUAAUACCGGAUAGGAGCUCCUGCUGCAUGGUGGGGGUUGGAAAGUUUCGGCGGUUGGGGCUGGACUCGCGGCUUAUCAGCUUGUUGGUGGGGUAGUGGCUUACCAAGGCUUUGACGGGUAGCCGGCCUGAGAGGGUGACCGGCGACAUUGGGACUGAGAUAGGGCCCAGACUCCUACGGUAGGCAGCAGUGGGGAAUAUUGCACAAUGGGCGGAAGCCUGAUGCAGCAACGCCGCGUGCGGGAUGACGGCCUUCGGGUUGUAAACCGCUUUCGCCUGUGACGAAGCGUGAGUGACGGUAAUGGGUAAAGAAGCAACGGCUAACUACGUG